UACGUAGGGGGCAAGCGUUGUCCGGAAUCAUUGGGCGUAAAGAGCGCGUAGGCGGCCCUGUAAGUCCGCUGUGAAAGUCAAGGGCUCAACCCUUGGAUGCCGGCGGAUACUGUCGGGCUAGAGUCCGGAAGAGGCGAGUGGAAUUCCCGGUGUAGCGGUGAAAUGCGCAGAUAUCGGGAGGAACACCUAUGGCGAAGGCAGCUCGCUGGGACGGUACUGACGCUUAGACGCGAAAGCGUGGGGAGCAAACAGG
Molecule: ribosomal RNA, 253 nt
Filed under: uncultured bacterium
Lineage: Bacteria
Description: partial 16S ribosomal RNA
Rfam family: Bacterial small subunit ribosomal RNA
Source: RNAcentral